UUUUAACUCACCUUUUGCUCUUACAGAGUUGAGUGGAGCUUACUAGAUAUUUUUCUUUGAUGAAAGAAUCUUCUCUUUGGUAUUAAUAUAAUAUAAAUAUAAUCCUGUUGACCAAAAUCAAUCAAAACUCAUUUCACAUCAGUCCUUCUUGCCGGCUUAAUUUGUUCUCUUGUCACUAUUUUAUCAUUUCCAGCAUUAUUGGUAUGGAGGCAGACCUCUACCCUUAUGUAGGGGUGGGCGCGGUGCGGUUUGGUGCGCUUUCGAGUGAAAUCACAACCGAAAUCGAAACUUUUUGCGGUGCGGUGCGGUGCGGUUUUGAAGCCAAAACCGAAAUGAAACCAAACCGUUUGGUUCUGUUCGGUGCGGUUUCAAACGGUUUCAAGCGGUUUCAAACUUAAAUACAAUCCCCCAAAACAUGCACCCACUCUCUGCGACCAAACCCCUCUCCUCUUUCCCCAAAAUCCCAAAAUCACGCCCCCAAAUCUCUGCGUCCAAUAUGAAAAUGUAUGUAAAACGAAAGUGAGAACCAAUAGCAGAAAUGUUCUAAUCAUGCAGUCUAAGCCACUCAGAGUUCGCCAUCACCAUUCUUUAACGCAAAAUCUCAUUGAAAAUGUAUGUAAACGAAAAGAACACCAUUUUCAGCUACAACCUUACAAAUGCAAACACAUAAAUGGCUUUGCUGCAGAAUUUCAGCUGAAACUAACAGAGGCUGGGCAAAUAUAAACAAACAAAUCCAAUCUCAACCUCUCUCUCACCGGAACUCUUCUCUUCUUCUUCCUCUCCCUUCCCGCCCUCCUCCUCCUUCAAAUCCAGCGUCUGCAACUCACCAGCUCCGUCCUCCUCCUCCUUCAAAUCCAGCUUCUGCAACUCACCAACUCCGUCCUCAUCCACCUUCUCUGUCGAAUCCAGCUUCUGCAACUCAUCAGGUUCUUCAUCCCCCUCCUCCACCGGCUCUUUCAAAUCCAGUUUCUGAAGCUCGUCGAGGACCGCAUGAUCUAGAUCAGACGGUGUGGGAUCGGGAUCCGGGGAGGAAGGCAGAGACCCCUGGUCGGAAUGAGCGUGGUUGGUGCUGGGGGUUUCGAGAUUUGGGGGAACAACAGAGGUUGCUUCAGAGAGUGCCAUUCUCCAUCCACAUUUCAAAACCCUAACUUUUUCAGAUAUGAAAAUGAACUGAGUCUAUCUUUGACCGAGAGGGAGAGAAAAAUGGAGUUGGCAGAAGCAGUCGCUCGCAGGCAGGCAGGCAGAAGCAGUCGCUCGCAGGCAGGUAGGCAGGCAAAAGCAGAUGCAAGCAGGCAGUCAGGUGAUCAGGUCGCAAAGGCAGAUGCGGAGAUGCAAGGAGGCGGCGCAGAAGCAGUCACUGAAAGUGCAAACCCACUCGGUGCAAACCCAGAACCGCAAAACCAAAUGUAUAAGUAUAACCUAGUUGAAUGAACUAAAUAAAAAUAAAAAAGUGCGGUUUCGGUUUCGGUUUCGGUGCGGUUUUGAAAACCCAAAACCGAAACCAAACCGUUUUGUGUGCCGCGGUUUGGUUUUGAAACCGAAACUGUUUCAAAACCGCAAAACCAAACCGUUUGGUGCGGUUUGAUUCGAUUCGUGUUUCGGUUUCGGUUUUCGGUUUCAAGUGCCCACCCCUACCCUUAUGUUUGGAUGCAUUUUUCAUUCCUUCUUAUUUUGUGUGGUCAUGAUUAAAUCAUGUCAAUAUUUUAUAUUAAUUUUUUUAUAGAUAUAAUAAGACAAAAAACAAUAAAAAUAUAAAAUGUGGGAAAUUUUAUUUACACCCAGUAAUCCUCUUUUCGCACCCAACUUAAAAAUUUUGUCCCACAAACUUACCUUUUUACCCUCAAAUACAAAAUUUACAAACUUUAAAAAAAAAGAACACAAACACGUAAACCCACCCAACCACCUACUAUGGCAGUAAUCGGAUUUGAUUCCGAUUGUCAUUACAAAAAUUGUCACCACCGACCUACUCUUUAUCUCGUCAAUGUUCAAUUCUUCGUGCUCAUCUCUAUAGUGGUGGUGACAAGGUCACGGUUGCACGUUGCAGCCUAGGUGAGCAGCGGCUGCGAUUUGGAAGAAGGGGCACGAUUUGGUCUGCCUAUGGCGGAACUGACCAAAUCCCUAAACAAAUUUGGGUUUUUAUUGAUGACGGUGAUCGGGGUGGCGAAAACCGCAGGAGCCACGAAAGUCCAUCUCUUUCCGAAGAUAUCCCCGACCAUAGAAGUCGGGCCGUUGGUCAAUCCGGGUCGGGCGCUCUGGGUCGGAGCCUACUGGUGGGUCCAGGAGGUGGUUCUACUGAUAGUGGGUUGUUGCCAGGCAGGUCGAGAUUGGGCGGCGAUGGUGGAUGAGGAGAAAAAAGAGGUCUUAUUCUUCUGGUCGUUGAGCAAUUUGGAUCGGCUCGAUCCGAGACCCAGAUCAAAGUUGAAGUUGGAAUUCAUGGUAAUGAAAUUGAAAUUGUUUACUAUUCUGGAUCAAAAGAAACAAGAUUCGAUUGCGUACCUAAGAGAAGAGAGUCUUCUCAAGGCCACUUCGACACACCCAUUCGAUAGUUUAUAAUAUAUUUCUAUACCCAUCUUUUCAUUAGGGUAUAAUUGGAAUAUAAAAUUUUAAAAAAUAUUAGUGGGUUUAGAGAUAAGUUAACUGGGUUCAAAUAAAAUUUCCCAUAAAAUGUUGAUGUGGCUUAACUGUGACCGCACAAAAAUAGAAUUUUAUGGGAUAAUUUCUGUGUAUUCCAUAAUUCUCAAUAAAAAGGUAUGUACAACCCUAGUUACAAGAAAGGCAACAAAUAAAGGACAUAAUACCUUUCCUAAAAUUCGACUCUAGUAAUUACAAAAUAUUUACAUUCCCUUUUCUACUAAAUAUUAACUUAUUCCAAUACUCCCCCUCAAGUUGGAGCAUAGAUAUUACUCAUGCCCAACUUGACAAGUGACUCACCAAACCUUCUACUGCACACUGCAUGGGUAAGUACAUCUGCAAGUUGUUCAUCUGAGUUCACAAAUGGUGUUGACACGAUUUUCUUCUCCAGCUUUUCUUUGAUAAAAUGUCUAUCAACUUCAACAUGCUUAGUCUUGUCAUGCUGUACUGGAUUCUCGGCUAUCUCUCUAGCGGACUUAUUAUCACAAUACAACUUCAUUGCCUCAUUCUGUGUAAAACCAAGACUCUCAAGUAACUUUCGCAGCCAAAGCAUCUCACAUACACCAUGUGCCAUUCCCCUAUAUUCGGCUUUGGCAGAAGACCAUGACACCACAUUUUGCUUCUUGCUCCUCCACGUAACCAAAUUACCUCCAACGAAUGUAAAAUACCCGGAUGUAGACCUUCUAUCAGUCACAUCACCGGCCCAAUCAGCAUCCGUAAAUCCCUUGAUCCUCAUAUGCCUAUGACACUUAUACAAAACUCCUUUACCCGGAGCAGACUUUAAGUAUGCCAAGAUUUUCAUCACUGCCUCCAUAUGAUCUACACUUGGUGAGUGCAUAAAUUGACUAACCACACUUACCGCGUAAGCAAUAUCCGGACGAGUAUGAGACAAAUAAAUCAACCUCCCCACCAGUCUUUGAUAUCUACCUUUGUCGACCGGUUCCUGAUCUGGAUAAAUCCCCAAAUAAUGUUUCUCUACGAUAAGAGUGUCCACAGGUUUACACUCCAGCAUGCCUGUUCCCUUUAAUAAAUCCAGAACAUAUUUACGUUGAGACAAGAAAAUACCUCUAGAUGACCGAGCGACUUCCAUUCCAAGAAAGUAUUUUAAAUCUCCCAAAUUCUUCAUCUCAAACUCGGCAGCAAGGUUUUGUUCAAGCUUCAUCAUCUCUUCUGAAUCAUCACCGGUUAUUAUCAUGUCAUCUACAUAAAUUAUUAAGGCAGUCACUUUACCACUUCCCCAUUUCACAAAUAAUGUAUGAUCCGAAUGACUUUGAUAAUACCCAAACCUCCUCAUAACCUGAGUAAAUCUCCCAAACCAUGCACGAGGUGAUUGCUUAAGUCCAUAGAGUGACUUUCACAAUCUACAUACUACGGUUUUUCCUCCGGCAUUGUACCCCGGAGGAAAAUCCAUAUAUACCUCUUCUUCUAAGUGCCCAUGAAGAAAGGCAUUCUUUACAUCAAAUUGUUUCAGUGGCCAAUUCAAGUUUGCAGCUAAAUAAAUCAGAACACGUACCGUAUUCAUCUUCGCUACCAGAGAAAAAGUUUCCUGAUAGUCAAUACCAUAAGUUUGAGUAUACCCCUUUGCUACUAACCUUGCUUUAUAUCUAUCUACCGAUCUGUCUGCCUUGUAUUUAAUUGUAAAGACCCAUCUACACCCAACCGGCUUCUUUCCUUUGGGUAGCUCCAUUAUUUCCCAUGUACCAUUUUUAUGUAGUGCCAUCAUUUCCUCAUCCAUUGCAGCAGCCAAUUUAGGACCUUCAAGGCCUCCUCCACUCGAGUUAGUGCUUGGAGUGCUUCCACAUUAUUUACCCAGGCUUGACGUUCCGGUGCAAGGUUCGAGCAUGACACAUAGUUAGCUAUUGGAUACUUCACUUUCCCUUUAGGAGAAAACCUGUUAGGAGGAACACCACGAUUUUGCCUUGGCGGCAACUAAUAUGUACUCAUAAUAUUAUCUUGAUUAGUUACAUGAGCAUUAGUAGUACUUACCUCAUGAAUAUUCAAAGAAGACACAUUGGGUGGCACUAUCGAGCUCGAGAGAGAAGGGGUAGUGGGUUUGGUAGUUCCUUGCUGCUGAAGAGGUGUAACAGGUUCGGCAAUAUCACACUCGGCAGCAGCUCCCCCUCCUGCAUUACACUCGGCAUCCUGUGGAGAUCCACUAGCUCCACUCACGGUAUCCCCAUUCACGGCAUGCACGGCAAGGUCUUGCCGUGACACCUCUUCACUAACAUUUGUAUCACCAAUUUCUCCCCCUACGCUACAUAUUUCCAACCAUCUAAGAUCACCACAAGUAGUCUCCCCCUGGUGAUCGAAAAGUGGUGGAACCGAAGCAUAAAAGAACUCGGACUCAGAAAAAGUAACAUCCAUGGUCACAUACAUAUGGCGAGUUUCGGGGUGAUAGCACUUAUACCAUUUUUGUUGAGGAGAAAAACCCAGAAAAACACAUCGGUAAGCACACGGAUCUAGCUUACUCCGAUGAACCUUGUGAAUAGGAACAUAAACUACACACCUGAAUACACGAGGAGGAAGAUGAUGACUCGAUACAAUGGGUACAAAAUCUAUCAACACUUGAAGAGGUGUUCUAAAGUCCACAACCCGGGAAGGCAUACGAUUAAUGACAUACACUGCAUAGGUGACAGCUUCAGGCCAGAACCGUUUAGGAACUGACGCACCAAUGAGCAAAGCAUGGGCAGUUUCCAGGAUAUGGGGGUUAUUUCUCUCAGCAACCCAUUUUGUUGUGGGGUAUGAGGACAAGUGGUCUCAUGUAAGAUUCCUUGAUCCUGAAUAAAACCGGACAACUCGGAACCAAUAUACUCUCAUCCAUUAUCUGAGCGAAGAACUUUAAUAACAGAGGAAUAUUGUGUAGCUACCAUUUGAGAAAAGGACCGAAACACCAUACUCACAUCACUUUUGUUUUUCAUCACAUAAAUCCACGUCAUACGAGUACAAUCAUCCACAAAGGUAACAAACCAUUUAACUCCAGAUAUAGUACUAACAGGAGAGGGACCCCAAACAUCUGAAUGCACAAGAUCAAAAGGAAAUAAUCUUUUAUUCAUACUAGGAGGAAAUGAAACGCGAUGACUCUUCGCGAGAAUACAUACUUCACAAUGUAAGUCUGAUUCUUUUAUUUCAUAAAAUAAACUAGGCAACAUACGCCUUAAAUAACCAAAGGAAGCAUGUCCUAACCGACGAUGCAAUAACCAAACUUCUUGUAAAUUAUUAGUACGGGAUGCUCGAACCAUAUUAGCUCUGCCAGGAACGACGUCAUCCACAUAAUAUAAUCCCUCUCUCUUAGUGCCACGCCCAAUUAUCUCCUUGGUCUGAAUAUCCUGAACCAAACAAAACAUUGGAUACAUAAGUACAACACAAUCUAAUUGCUCAGUAACUUGAGGAAUAGAUAACAAAUUAUGAGACAACGAGGGAACAAGCAGGCAGUGAUUGAGGGGAAGGGCCGGUGUGAGUUGUAUUGUGCCGGCCCCUAAAACUGGUGCUAUUGUUCCGUUAGCCGUUGCUAUACACUCCCGUGGACUUGCUGUCAUACUAGUAAAUAAAUUCUUAUCAAAAGUCAUAUGAUAAGUUGCACCCGAGUCUAGAAUACAACCUGGAUGAUGCUCCAUAUCAGAGGCUAAAAGAACACGCCCCAUACUACCUGAAGUGUCAUGGGUUUCACUAUGAGUGGUCUUGGUCAACAAGCUGUGACUCGGGUCACUUGAGGAGGGCACGACAUCCUUGAUGGCAAUGGCACUGGAUCCACGGCUUCGACUUGCUCCAUUAGCAGCUCGCUUCUUGGCACGUAAUUUUUUCUUCAAUUCGGGAAACCAUUCGGGUACCUCAUGUUUCUGAAAACAUGUAUCCUCUGUAUGACGGGUUUGACCACAAAAGGUGCACUUCAGAUCAUCCUUGUUUUCUCGAGUGAAUGGCUGAGAAUUGGCCAUUGGAGAUGGGUUAAACCCUCGGUUACCUGAUGGUAGCCGUGAUACCAUGGCUAUGGGAUGAGCUCCUCCUUGGUUCCCCACACCACUACUUCCCAUCAUAGUUGCAUGGCGUUGGGCUUCUCGCCUAACAACAGAGAACACCUCAUUUACAGAUGGUAAAGGUUGAGUUCUCAAAAUAUCACUACACACUUUGUAAAAAAUAUCAUCAAGCCCUGCUAGGAAAGCAUACACACGGUCCAGUUAAAUUUCUUCUCGGAGUGUCUUCAAGUCAACUACACACUCCAUCUUGAUUGGUCUUCUCUGAUCCAAUUCUUGCCAAACUGCUUUGAGAUCGGCAUAAUAUACACCGAUAGGUCUUCCUUCCUGGUGAAGUUGGAAUGACUUCACCUUCAACUUAUAAAUCUGAGAAAUAUCAGACCCAUCAUAAUAUGUUCGAGCAACUUCUUCCCAGACUUUUUUAGCAGUACGAAGAUGAAUGAAAAAUCCCAUAAUGGUAGGAUCCAUGGAAUUAAUCAACCACCAUUUUACAAUUGCAUUCUCGGUCUCCCAAGCUUCAUACUCAGCACUGUCCUCUUUGGGCUCUUUGAUGCUUCCUAUCACAAACCCUUUCUUACCACGUCCCGCGAUAUGCAUCUCCAAUACCUUGGACCACAAAUGAUAGUUUGAUCCAUUUAGCUUUACAGUACUUGGUACGGCCGAAGCAUCACUUUGAAUAACCACCAGAUUGACGACUGACCCAUGGGUGGUGCCAGACGCCUCACCCUCUAACUUCAAACCCGUCUCACCUUUGUUACCUGCCAUUAAUUACAACCUUACAAUACACACACGCACGCAGCAAAUAGUCACCACGAUUGCAGCGACCAAUAGUCAAACUUGCUACAGGGAUGCAGCGGCAUUAUCCAGACUUGGCUGGAUUUUUUUCCUGGUUUCACGAUGGCAGCAGCACGGUGGAAGUUCUAGGGUUACUCUUGGCUUUGGUGCCAAAUAGAAUUUUAUGGAAUAAUUUCUGUGUAUUCCAAUCUCAAUAAAAAGGUAUGUACAACCUUAGUUACAAGAAAGGCAACAAAUAGAGGACAUAAUACCUUUCCUAAAAUUCGACUCUAGUAAUUACAAAAUAUUUACAUUCCCUUUUCUACUAAAUAUUAACUUAUUCCAAUAGGAGGGGAUAGGAAUGGCACCUAAUCAGGAGGGCAGACAAUCUGCCUCCUUAUUGGUAUACCGACUAUGGCAAGUAUGUUAGCCAACAAUAAUAAGCCAAUUCUUUAUUGUUGGAUGUCGUUGUCAUAGAGUUACGAUUUUCAUUUUUUAACCAUAUGCACUCUAAACUGUAUAUUUUACAUUCUUUCUACUCACAUAGGAGUGCAGGAGGUUGAAAAUGAGUGCCAAAAUUACGGUGUGAUAGAGAUUCACAUAACUGCUCCUAGUAACAUGAACUUGCUUACUUGAGGUAAAACCCUUGCUUGAGGUUUCCUUCAAAUAGGUCUUCUUGAAGGCUGAUUUGGUGUUCGAAAACUUAACUAGUCGAAAGUUGAGGCAACUCAAUUAUUGCGGCUGGAUUUAUCUACAGUGCUACAACUAUUGAAAAGUUGAAAGUUAGUGCUUAAUGAUAGGAAGCUUGCUUAGUUGGGUUCUUUGAUAAUAACAUAGGGGAUGCUGGACCAUUGUUAGUGCGGCAUCUACAGGACUACGAAGAUUGUGGGUGGAUUUAUCUACCGUACUAUAACGAUUUUAAGGUUGAAAUUUGGUGCUUAAUGAUAGCAAGCGUGCUUAGUUGGGUCCCUUGAUAAUAACAUAACGAUGCUAGACCACAGUUAGGGGUGGUUUGGAAGUAAGGUGCUUAAAAAAAAAGCACCCAUGAAAAAAGCUGUGAGGGUUUUAGGUGUUUGGUAAACUAAAAAAAAUGGCUUAUUUUGGAAGCUGCUUUGAGAAUAACUUUAAAUCCAAAGGAAAAGCUGAAGCAGCUAUUUCCAGCUUUAGAAAAUUGGCUUUUUUUCAAAGCAUACGGAGCUACAGUGCUUUUUUAAUGAAAAGACCCACUAUCAAACUGUUUUUUUUUUUUCAAAAGCACUUUUACAAAAAAGUUUACUAAACACUCUGUUGAUUUAUUUCACAGCCGCUUAUUCUCACAGCAGUUUUUUUUCAAAGUACAACAAUACCAAACCAGCCCUUAGUGUGGCAUGUACAAGACUGCACCAUCUUGUUUACACGUUUAUAUAACGAUGGGAGCUUGUGAACAUGCAUGUCAAAAAAAGGAAACCACGCUGACAGAGUUGCAUCAGCUGGGUUGUAAGAUGGAUGCAUCACUCUCUGUGGACAGAGAAGGACAAAUGGUGGAUGAUGGUGGUAAAUGCGGUGGUUGGAUCAUCUUUUUAUUCAUGAUAGGUAUCUCUCUCUCUUUCUCCCCCUCUCACCCCCUCCCUCUUUCAUGCACUUCUGUUAUUCACUUAUGACUACAAGGAAGUGAAAAAGAAAACUUCUUUCUUAGCAAACCAUGUGAUCUUAUUUUAUUUUGAGCAGGAACUUUAAUGUGCUUGACACUUGCUGCUGGAGGAUGGCAAGCAAAUCUGGUUGUGUAUCUGAUUGAGGAGUUUAACGUGAAGAGCAUUGAUGCUACUCAGGUGGGAAAUGUUGUGAGUGGUUGCACUAGUUUAUUUCCUAUCAUUGGAGCAAUUGUUGCAGACUCCUUAUUUGGCUGUUUCCCGGUCAUCCUGAUCUCGUUUUGUGUCUCUUUUUUGGUAAUAGCCUCGCUCUGUCACCACUCUAACAAGCACACACACUCACAUAACCAUAAUAGUUCUGUUAAUUGUUGAUGUAGGAUUAAUACACUUCCAAUUUGCAACGUAAAGUUGAGUUUUAUAGGAUAAUACACUUUCAAUUCUCUGCUUAAUGGAACAGUAUUAGCCUACAAUGAAGCAUCUGAAGCAUCUGAAACAUCUGAAUCCUUAAAUAGUUGGUGCUAGAGACACGGUAGGAAGGUUUCCAUAUUUUCUUCUCGUAUUUGGAAUUUGAGUUGUACAUCGGGUACCUGCGGGCAAUACAUAUCGUCGCAUUUUUCAAUUUUCCUGUUGAACCAACUUGUUCUCUGAAAAUCUUCAAUACACGUCUAGUCUCAUUUUUAAAUUCAUUACAAUUUAUUCUUCGCAGGGAUUGGUCUUAUUCACUUUGACUGCAACUAUUGAUUCCUUGAGGCCCCCUUCAUGUGAGAAUGGAUCUAGCUUGUGCGAAACACCAUCAAAAGUUCAGUUUGCAGUGCUAUAUGCUAGUAUAACACUGAGAUCAAUUGGACUAGGAGGCACUCGCUUUACUAUAGCAACAAUGGGAGCAAACCAAUUUGACAAGCCUAAAAAUCAAGGGAUUUUCUUUAACUGGUUUUUCUUUGCCAUGUAUACGGCGACUGUUGUAAGUUCUACUGUCGUUGUGUAUAUUGAGGAUAAUGUCAGUUGGGGGUUGGGAUUUGGCCUAUUUGCUCUUGUUAAUUUGAUUGGUCUGGUCAUAUUCUCAUCUGGAAUCCAUUUAUAUCGUCGUGAUAAGCCACAAGGUAGCCCAUUCGUGAAUAUAGCUCGUGUUGUUGUUGCUAGUAUCCGGAAAUGGAAUAUUAAGCUCACAUCCCCAAGGGAGGAUUACCACUACCACAAUGAUGGAGAGGUAAAAACAACUCCCGCAACACCUAAAAGAGUUUCAGGUACCGGAAUUUCCACAGGUCUUAGUGUCUUCUUUAUUGCACGCCUCUUGUUUUUUGACAUGGUGCGUAUAAUUCAAAUGAGCUUUUCCCCGAUGUUUUUGAUCUGUAAUCAUCAUGUUGUUGAGUACGGAAGGAUACACAGUGCCAUACACAUUGAAGGAAAUAAUGAUGAUAAGAAAUUUUCCUUUUGCUCUCUUGUUGCAGAUUCCUGAACAGUGCAGCCCUGGAAACAUAAGGGGACUCGAAGCCCGACGGCUCCAUUGCCAGGCCAUGGAGGUUGUGCACAGUCCAGCAAGUAGAAGAUCUCAAAACUGUCAUUAAAAUUUUCCCCUUGUGGGCAUCCAACAUAUUUAUAAGUACCCCAUUAGCGAUUCAAAUAAGCUUAACGGUCCUGCAAGCUCUAAAGAUGGACCGUCACAUUGGAUCACAUUUCAAAGUCCCGGUUGGAUCUGUCAUAGUCGUGGUUACAAUCGCCACUUGCAUUGCUCUCCCAAUAAUUGAUCGUAUCCUAUAUCCCGUCUGGCAGAAACUGACCCAUAAAUCUCAAACUCCCCUCCAAAGACUAGGAAUUGGUCAUGUCCUAAAUAUCACAAGCAUGGCUGUUUCCGCAUUGGUUGAGUCAAAGCGUCUCAAAACAGCUCAUGGUUCCAUGGUGCCAAUGUUGGUCAUGUGGUUAUUCCCACAGUUGGUUUUGGCGGGCAUCGGUGAAGCAUUUCAUUUCCCGGGGGAACUUCAGUUUUGCUAUCAAGAAUUUCCAGCAUCACUUCAUACCACGGCGACUGCAAUGGUUGCGAUGAUAUUAGCCAUUGCUUUUUACUUGAGCACGGCGCUUUUCACUUCAUUGUUCAUCAGAAAUACUAUUUCCAAUGGUAAAAAAUGCAAUCCUUGAACGUUGGUUAUGACUCACUCGACCUUCCAUACCAACCAAAUGUUGAAACACCCAACCAUACCAUCUUGUGAUAGUUACUAUUUACUAAUCUUGAUUAUGCUUUCAAUGUGUUUGACAAAAUGCUUCAGAUGCGUCCUCUACCGUCCGUUGUCUGCUUCGAAAGAAGAUCUUCUCCGGAUUCACUUUGUGGGAUCCUAGAUAUCCUGACAUCCUAACUGCUUAUCGUACAUCGUACGGUCAGUUUUCGUCAGGUACUAUUUGUGUUUAAGUUUAAAUAAAAAAAUAUCCUAAGUCACGUGCUAUCUAGACCAUGUGGGUUUUUAAGUAAAACGACGAGCAUUGAUGUGUUGUAUGACAACACCACCUAGGUCACGUGGGAGGCUGAUAGUCUCAUCAUUUUUUAUUAAAAAACAAAAAACAAAAAGACUGGACUUUCUAAGGAAGCUUGUCUGCCCUCUUGUUACUGUGCCAUUUCCAUAUCCUCUUAUUUGUGCGGUCACGGUUAAGCCACGUCAACAUUUUAUAUUGAUUGUUUAAUAAAGAUAAUAACAUAAAAAGCAAUAGGAAUAUAAAAUGUUAAUGUGAUUUAACCGUAACUGCACAAAUAAAAGAGAAUGAGAAUGAUAGGAUAACAUGAGGGCAGACAAUCUACCUCCAAUUUCUAAGAAAGUCCACCCGACCCAUAUUAUUAUACAUACUAAAAUUCAGUCUUCCGACACUGUUUCAUCAACAGUGAAAGGGUGAAACUACCAUCGGGUUCUUCUUUUCUCCGCAUACUGUUUCCACGUUUCUACAAUGAAAAGUUGGUUAUGCCCUUCCUAGCCACGCGUCUUUCAUCGUUUGUUUCUCUGCUUGGGCAGCAUCUUUUUUGCUUUACCCUUCUUCUUCGUUUUCAAUUUCAUGAGUCUGGGACGAAGCAAAAAAUUUAACUAAGAGGGGGCACCUUAAAAAAUUUGAGCUCUUUUUUUGGACAAAUAAAGCUAGUUCUUUUACAAAUGCUGAAAAAAUUAAUUACAAAAUGCCUAAUUUUAUUACUCUAUUGUCUAAUUUUGUCUUGAAUUGUUUACAAUCUAAUGCUCAUUUGUACUAAUUAACUAAAUACAUGCAACUCAACAAAGUUUAGACAUUAGUACGUGAGAAAAAUAUACAAGACGGAGGGGCAUUUAAAAACUAAAAGAGGAUUUUCACUAUUUUAAUAUGAUUAAUUGAAUAAUUUGUAAAGCAAAAAAAUGGGGAUGAUUAAUUGAAUAAUUUGUAAUGAAAAAAACAGGGAUGAGAGGGGGGGCAUGUGCCCCCACUGGGCCUUACCUCCCUCCGUCCAUGUGAGUCUGCGAUUUUCUACCACUUCGUCAGCCCGUCUUUUGGUCUCAAAUCCUUUCUUUUUCUUUCGCAAAAUUGUCUUAGUAGAGGUCCAGCGUUUGAUUUUUGUUUUUUUGGAUUUAGUUUCCAGUCUCUCCCGUUAUUGAAUGCUUUGUUGUUGGGCGUUUUCUUCUCAUCUUGCGAUCGUCGGGGAAGAACUUUAAGGUUAGUUUGUUCUUCGUGUUUUAUCCUCAUUUUGCUAUCUCUAGGCCAAGAAAUUUAAGGUCUUUGUUUUUGUUUUUUCUGCGGAUCUGCAGGUUGGGACAAAGUUUUUGUGAAAUUGGUGACUAAUCGCAUGCUGCCUCUUCAGAUUAUUGACAAAGAAAAUUAUAUUGAGCUUGGGUAUGUUUUACAACAACUACGUGUAAUUUUCGAUUCUCAGUUUGUAUUUGUUUGAAAGGAACCCUGAAAAAAACUGUGGCAAUUUGGUUCUCUGUUGUGUUUAUGCUGGCUGUAACAAAUUGGUUUACCGUGUGUAUAAUUUUUUGCUACAAAAUUGGUACAUUCUAAUCGUUCUUAAAAAAAAGACUCAAUUUGUUUUCCAAUUAUUUUUUAGAGUUGUUUUCGUUAUUGGUUUAAAUCAAUGUCCAGAAACCAAAAAGCUUUCAAAAGCAAAGGAUUUAACAUUACUUAAGGGUUUUACAGAGGUUUAAAAGCUUGAAUGCUUAAUUAAAGUUUUGUUUAGAUCAAUGUAUAGAGACGAAAAAGGUUUGAAAAGGAAAGUAUUUCAGAUUGCUUGAAGCUUUUACACCAGUUUAAAAGCUUGAGUGACUAAUUAAAGCUUAAUUAUGAAUUCAACCAUAUUUUACUUAAGUUAAUCAAUCAUGUAACUACUGAAAGUAUAUGAUUCAGUUACCUUUUUGAAAAUGAGUACCUUUCUUUUUUAUUAAGGAUCAAGAACAUUCAUGCUAUCAAUUUUUCUCAAUGAUGAGGCAUUUCAUUUUCUUUCGUUGUCAAAUAGUGUUCUCUGGUGGUUGCAAAGUAAUACAUAUGUAUAUAGAGCAGGUCAUUAAUAAACAAUCUGUUUGGUUCUAAUUUUUUGAUAAUUCGGUAUUAUUGGAAAGAUAAUGUGGACAAGGAGCUGUUAACUCUUAUUUAUAUAAACAGAUGCAUAAAAUUUGUUUUGCACGACAAAGCUUAUAUGUAUUUGGUUAACAAUGCGAGUAUUCUGAGUUUUGUUAAUUCAGUAAAAUGUAUUGUAGGUCAUUAAAUUUUGACAUCCGUUUCACUAAUACUGCUUUUAUUCUCAGCAAAUAUAACAUGACCUUACAUUUUUUGAACUUUCAUCUGAUACUGUUUUCUAUAGAGAAGAUAAUCAUCGCAGAAAACUCAAUCUAACGAUACUUUUCCUGCUACUAAAAGCAUUCUCUUAACCUUCAACUUAAGUAAGUGCUGCAUUUUUAUAUAUGUACAUGGUUUACAUAGUUUUUAACCAUUACAUCACCCAUUGUCUAUAGCUGUGUGUUGUUUCUAAUUGCUUACUGUACUGAAAUAAUUGUAUUUAAUCAUAUUUUAAUAAGUGAAGUUUGUAAAAUUGGUUUCCAGGUAUGGUUAAGCAGUUAAAAGGUUUGUUUAAUAAUUUGAAGAAAAAGAACAUAAAUCACUAAUGUAACAGGUAUGUCACAACUUCAACAAAUAGGUUUCAAGAACAUGUAAAUACAAGGAUCCAAGAGUAUGUCAAAUAAAUUAACGUUUUAUUACUUUUUUUUUAUUACUUUUCUACAUUUAAAUUCAAUAUUUACUGACCUUUCUCCUCAGGGGAAUUAGUUACUACUAAUUUAUAUACAGACUAUCUUCUAUUUAUCUAAUCUAAAUACAUGGCCUUGCCUACACAUUGAGAGGUUAAGUUAAACAUAAAAAAGUAGAAAUAUGCCAUCUCCACAUGCUUUAAUUAAGUUAAGGAACAUCUUACCAAUAGCAGAAUUGUUAAAUCUAUCCAUGCACCGUUGCUGUUAUUCAUUGAUUAGAUUUAAUAAUUCUUCUAUACGUAAUGUAUUCUUUCGCUAAGUUAAAGCAUGUAGAGACGGUGUAUCUUUGGUGGGAACAUUUGUACUCAUACUAUUCCAUGUUUAUCUUAAACCUUUUAAUGCAUAGAUAAAAAAUUGGCCAUACAUUUAGGGUAGGUCAAAAUAAUAAAGUUUGUAUAUAAAUUGCUAAUAGCUAAUUCCUUUGAGGAGAAAAGAUGGAAAUGAUGAUUUUUCCUCCGAAUAAUGGAGCAUAAAAAACAUCUCUAUAUUGCAGAGAGCAACCUAUUUAGCUAAAUCUGAUCCAUCCUCUUAAUAUGCAUGGUGUGCAGUUUCUGAUUUUUAAUCAAACUUCACACUAUUAUUUUCAUUUGGUAAUAGGUUUUAUAAAAUUUGCCCAUCCUCUUAAUACACAUGGUGUGCAGUUUGUGAUUUUGUACAUAGUUUUAUAAUCUUUAAACAUCAUUUCAUCACAUUUUGGGAAAUGAUGUAACCAUUUGUCUCUUCACCGUCUUAAAUUGUAUAAAAUUAACCCUUUAUUCUGUUCAUGAAAGUACAACGGUGAACUGACAUUAUGUAAAUUCACAAUCCGAGUAAGUCCUCGAUUUCACAUAUUUUAAUUUAUUUAUACUUUUGUUCACAUUAAUCAAUAUUAUACUGCAGUUUGAAAUCUAUGAUAUACAUCUAUCUACUUUCAAACCUAAAUUCUACAUCUAUUAGAUCAAAUUAAAAAACCCCUACAAGCUUAGAUAUAUAUUUAUUUAGCUCUCUGUAUUAAGAAUUUAUGGGUGUUGUUCUUCUCAUUUAAAAAAAAAAUUAAAUUUAAUAUAUUCAUGUACUCUGUUUGGAUACAUUGAAAGUAUAAUCAACAAUAAAUAUUUAAGUCUGUGACAUCAGGCAAUUUAGCAUGGUUACUUGCUGUUCUCUUCAAGGUCAGACAAAGUUUAUCUUUGUAAAUAUAUGUAUCUUACCAAAAACCAUAAAUGAUACUACAGAUCUUUUUUUUUCCUCUAAUUUUUUUAAUUUUUUAAUUUUUUAAUUUUUUUUAACAAAUGCUUCUCAACAAUUGAGCCCUUUUUGUCACUAUUCAUAUUGCAGGAGUUGAGCUUCCACAAAUUUCAGGGCGUUCAAACUUUAUCCUCUCGAAUGAAAUGGUAAUGAAAUUUCUUAAAAUUAUAGUUUAUUACUAUAAAAGAUGACUUAUGUUCUCAGCCUCAUAAUCUAUGUAUGUUUACACAUUAUCCAACUUGCUUUGCUUCUACAAAAUCAAAAUACUUAUAUCCGCCUACAAAAUUCUGUUGAAGAAGAGAGAUUUUUUGUAACAUCCCACAUCGCCCAGGGGAGUGAUCCUUAAAUAUAUAUUCUCAUCCCUACCUAGCACGAGGCAUUUUGGGAGCUCACUGGCUUCGGGUUCCAUAGGAACUCCGAAGUUAAGCGAGAAGGAGGCCAGAGCACUCCCAGGAUGGGUGACCCACUGGGAAGUUGCUUGUGAGUUCCCAAAAACAAAACCGUGAGGGAAUGGUAAGCCCAAAGUAGACAAUAUCGUGCUACGAUGGUGGAACGGGCCCGGAAUGUGGUGAACCCGGGCCGGGAUGUGACAUUUUUAAACUACAGUUUUUCUUUAAUUAUUCACAAAUGUAUGUACAGGUUAACGAAAAAACAUGUAUGCUUUUUUGGUGAAUUUGAUUCGAAUUGGUAAAUUUUGGUAACAAAAAAACCUAUGAUAAAUUAAAACACUCAUUAAAUAAUAUUAUCUGUUCAGUGUAUCUAUAUAUAGUUAACAAAUUGUUCAAUGAGUUUUGUGUAUGUAAAACUCUCAUCUUCUAUCUAUUUGUGGCUAAUCAACAUCGCUUGUUGGUGAUGGAUGUACAUAUCAAAAGAGUGAGACAAAAGAACAAGACUUGGAAGUGUCCAAGGACUAGAUGGUGGAAUCUAAAAGAAGAAAAACAAGCCAUUUUCAAAGAGAAAGUAAUCACCCAGUGUGUGUGGGAUAGAGAGGGGGAAGCUAGCCAAAUGUGGGAUUCCAUGGCUAGUUGUAUCCGAAAAGUAGCAAAAGAGGUAUUAGGAGAGUCCAAGGGCUUUGCCCCACACCAAAAGGAAUCUUGGUGGUGGAAUGAGGAGGUACAAACAAAGGUGAAGGCUAAGAAGGAAUGUUGUAAAGCCUUAUACAAGGAUAGGACUGAUGAAAAUGGUGAAAGGUAUAGAAAAGCGAAGCAAGAGGCGAAGAAAGCUGUGAGAGAAGCUAAGUUAGCGGCUUACGACGAUAUGUAUAAACGACUAGAUACCAAAGAAGGAGAGUUGGAUAUCUAUAAACUAGCGAGAGCAAGGGAAAAGAAGACAAGAGACCUAAACCAAGUGCAUCAAGGAUGAGGAUGGAAAAGUUCUUGCUACAGAGAAUGCAGUUAAAGACAGAUGGAGAGGUUAUUUUCAUAAUCUUUUCAAUGAAGGACAUGAAAGGAGUGCUUCUUUAGGGGAGUUGAGUAACUCAGAAGAGUGUAGAAACUACUCUUUUUAUCGUCGAAUCCGGAAGGAAGAAGUGGUUGUAGCUUUGAAGAAGAUGAAGCAAAGAAAAGCAAUAGGCCCAGACGAGAUACCAAUCGAAGUGUGGAAAGUUUUGGGAGAGACAGGUAUAACAUGGCUCACUGACCUUUUCAAUAGGAUUUUGAAAACGAAGAAGAUGCCAAAUGAGUGGCGAACGAGCACUUUAGUGCCUAUCUACAAGAAUAAGGGCGACGUACAAAAUUGCAUGAACUAUAGGGGUAUUAAGCUAAUGAGUCAUACAAUGAAGCUCUGGGAGAGAGUCAUUGAGCAUAGAUUGAGGCAAGAGACACGGGUUUCGGACAACCAAUUCGGGUUCAUGCCAGGGCGCUCAACCAUGGAGGCAAUCUAUCUCUUACGAAGAUUGAUGGAAAGAUAUAGAGAUGGGAAAAAGGAUUUACACAUGGUCUUUAUAGAUUUGGAGAAAGCGUACGAUAGGGUCCCAAGAGACAUUCUUUGGAGGAUUUUAGAGAAGAAAGGAGUACGAGUAGCAUAUAUCCAAGCUAUAAAGGAUAUGUAUGAAGGAGCAAAGACUGCCGUAAGAACUCAUGAAGGACAAACCGAAAGCUUUCCCAUAACUGUAGGAUUACAUCAAGGCUCAUCCUUAAGUCCUUACCUUUUUGCGUUGGUAAUGGAUGAGUUAACAGGACAUAUUCAAGAUGAUAUUCCUUGGUGUAUGCUUUUCGCAGACGAUAUAGUGUUGAUAGAUGAAACUCAGGAAGGGGUAAAUGCAAAGCUUAACCUUUGGAAAGAAGUGUUGGAAUCUAAAGGUCUUCGCCUAAGCCGAUCAAAGACAGAAUAUAUGGAGUGCAAGUUCAGUGCAAAUGGAGGCCAAAACGAGUUAGGGGUGAGGAUCGGUGAUCAAGAAAUACCAAAGAGCGAUCGUUUUCGUUACCUAGGAUCUAUCUUGCAAAAGAACGGAGAAUUAGAUGGAGAUCUCAACCAUAGAAUACAAGCUGGAUGGAUGAAGUGGAAGAGUGCAUCCGGCGUGUUGUUGUGUGACCGCCGUAUGCCAUUGAAGCUCAAGGGAAAAUUUUAUAGGACGGCAAUAAGGCCGGCGAUGCUGUAUGGCACAGAAUGUUGGGCGGUGAAGCAUCAACACGUACACAAAAUGGGUGUAGCGGAGAUGAGGAUGCUUCGUUGGAUGUGUGGGCACACGAGAAAGGAUAAGAUUAGGAAUGAGGAUAUCCGGGGUAAAGUAGGAGUAGCCGAAAUUGAAGGAAAGAUGAGAGAAAAUCGGUUACGGUGGUUUGGACAUGUGCAAAGAAGGCCUACUGACGCUCCGAUUAGAAGAUGCGACUAUGGGGCAGAGGUUCAGGGCCGAAGGGGUAGAGGAAGACCUAGGAAAACUUUGGAAGAGACUCUAAGAAAAGACUUAGAGUACUUGGAUCUAACGAAGGACAUGACACAGGACCGAGCACAAUGGCGUUCUAAGAUUCAUGUAGCCGAUCCCACUCAGUGACUUGGAUUUUCCAAGUCUCCAACCGAGAAGUUUUCCUCACUCAGGAAAUUAAGGGAACACUACCUCAACCUACAUGCUCCACUCACAAAGCUCCAACAAAAGAAAAUUCAAAGAACUUAGCGAAGAAGGCUUUGGUGUAUUUAACACAAUACGUUGAAAUGAAGGAAAGCUUAUUUAUUGAUAUCCCCGAUAAGCUACAAAUAUGUACAUAUACAUGAGUCAAAAUAAACAAACAAGAGAGAGCCUUCACAAAGGUUGCUUAGGAGAAGUCGCAGCAGUCGGUAGAGCCCCAGAAAGCGAAGGCACCGGAGGGGGAUCAUUCGGAGCCUCAGUACUGGACAGAACCCUAGAAGGAGGAGGCAUCAGAGGUUGAUCAUUUGGAGCUUCAUUACGCGGUACAGCCCCAGAAGACGAAGGCAAUAAAUGCCUUUGGAACAAACCACAAAAUCUCUGAUGAUCAAGUAAAACCUGACCAUCAGAUUCCUUCAUCUGGUCCAACUUCCUCUUCAUGUUUGUAGCAUAGUCAUGUGCGAGACGGUGCAACUGUUUAUUCUCAUGCUUGAGCCCUCUAAUCUCCUGUUUGAGACUCAUCACUUCAGCCGCCAAUGAUUCAACUUGGCGGGUUCGAGCAAAUAGGCGUUGGGCCAUAUUAGACACAGAACCUGCACACUGAACACUGAGAGCCAGAGAAUCCUUAACAGCUAACUCAUCAGAUCGUUUGGAAAGUAGUCUGUUAUCUUUGGGAGUGAGAAGGUUCCUGGCCACCACCGCAGCGGUCAUAUCAUUCUUCAUAACGGAAUCCCCAACGGUAAGAGGACCAGUAGGGGAGACGAAGGAUGGGCGCCAUAUGUUGUCUGGAGAAGGCGGGGCUGCCUCUUCAACAAGGUUCAAAGUCAAAACGACGGUCGGAGGGGCCAGACAUUUUCAAAGGUGUUGAAGAGAGAAGAGGUCGAACAAAUCAAGAUCUUAGAAGUGUAAGAAUGGAGCUUCUACUGGUGGAGAUUCAAGUGUGCUUUGGAACUUAAUGCCAGCCCCUAUAAAAAUCUGCACUCGACGGAGCUUCAGAAAUCGAAGAGGGCGCCUGCUCAGAAAUCGAAGAGGCGUUUGCUUUCUCAAAAAGCUGGGCUGCUCAGAGACCACGAGGGUCGAUCUCAGAAAUCGAAGAGGCGUCUGCUUUCUCAAAAGUUGGGCUGCUCAAAGACCACGAAGGCCGAUCUCAGAAAUCGAAGAGGCGCUUGCUUUCUCAAAAGUUGGGCUGCUCAGAGACCACGAGGGCCGAUCUCAGAAAUCGAAGAGGCACCUACUUUUCCAGCCUUGGCAGCACCUGUCACACGCACACUCAGCUUUGCGGAAAUUAUGGGCAUUCUGUCGAAGACUUCUGGUGAAGUAGAAAGCACAUGAGUCUUACUGUUCAAUCACCCACACGCAAUAGUAGCUCAUGUGUAUCACAGAUAACUUUGCCAAAGUUCUCUGCCAAAGUUGAGCACGUGAAGCUUGCAGCUUCCACUACAUCGCUCUGACCAAGACGGGUAAAAGAAUAGCAAAGAAACAGCACUAACAAAGUUUAGACACAUAAAUUUUGAAGGUCUAGCUACCCCAUAUUAUUACCCACAAGGGUAAAGGAACAGUAUCACUGCUGGAUAAUUGGAAAGUCCCUGUGUGUCAACCUCUGUGCUUCGUGGCAAGGUAGACUAGCAAACAUGCCCAACCUUUACUCACAUUCGAGAAAACACUCCCAACAAGAUUGCUUGCUCCAAAAUCGAAGAGGCACCGUCCUCCGAAUCUCGAGAGCCAGACUCCCAACAUGAUUACUUUCUCAAAAAUCGAAGAGACACCGCUCUUCGAAUCUCGAGAGCCAGACCCCCAGCAUGAUUGCUUUCUCAAAAAUCGAAGAGACAUCGUUCUCCGAAUCUCGAGAGCCAGAUCCCUGAUAGGAUUGCUUGUUCGAAAACCGAAGAGGCAACACUUUCCCAACUACAAGAGCCGGAUCUCCUUGGAUAAAGCUGUCUGUAAUCUUCACACGCAACAUCAGCUUUCCACAUACCACAGACCACUUUUUCAAAGUGCUCUGACAGGGUAAAGGAAUAGCAUUACUACUUGUUGUUAAGGAGACUCCUAUAUAUGUCAACCUCCAUCCCCAACGGACAGACAGACCUGCAAAAAUGCUCAACCCUUCCUCAUAUAUGAGAGGGCACUCUCAACGAAGCCUUUUGAAAUAUUCAGCUUUCUUUCCCCCCGAUAAUACCUCUGCAAACAAGUUAUACUAGAGCAAGAAUAUCUCAUAUCAUCAGGGUUAAAAGCAAGAGUAUCCCAUAUCAUGCUUUUUCCCUGUCUUUUCCUUUGGCCUUGUUCUUACCUGCAAGACAAGGAGAAAGAGAGCAAUCAAUCAGCACUUGGAAUCAAGCUUCCAGCCAGGAACUGACUGCCUGGAACUUACUUACCUGGCAUUGCUCUCGAGUACUCAUCUUCAACAUCUUAUGCUUCCAGGGAAGAUACCGCAUCUGCCUGAGGAACAGAUAGGGCAAGUGAGAAGGAUACAAGGAAGCAUGUGGAGACAAGCGUAACAGCACACGUGCCGAUACAUCCAUUACUCUGUCAAAGCAAAAGUAUCCCAUAUCAGUAGGGUCGAACGUACUCUAGAUUUGAUGGACUUGUUUUGACCCUCAAAUUCUUCAGUCGGCCUUAUACUCUGGAGGAAACCAGAAAACCCUCCAGCUCAGUUCAAGAAUAAGCCUGUGGAAAGUUACUUCUUCAAAAGCAAAAGUAUCCCAUAUCAUCUCUUCUCAUUUUUCUUCUCUUUAUCCUUCAUGCUGCCUGCAAGAUAGGGAGAAUGUGAACAAUCAGCCGGAGCUCUGAUUGCUUUCCUUGUCUGUCACCUCUUUCAGCAAAUCCCCUAGCUCGGCAACUUGAGGGACUCCUACUACAUGGUUUGUAUCGCGCUUGACCAAGCCUGAAACUACAAGUAAGCUUCAAGUGAAAUUGAUACAUUACCUUGUGCAUCUCCACCAGUUAAAGAUACCACCCCUGGAUGGAGGAAGAGUACUUCCAGAGAAGAUGCCACAUCUACCUAUGAGACAGAUAAGGCAAGUCAAGACGAUACCACAUUCCGAUACUUAGAAGUUUCGUGAUUACGAGAUCAUUCUCCCACAAUAUUUCCUAAUGUCAUUUGUACUAAAUCAUUCACCUGUACUCACUAAAGGAAAGCUUGAACCUAUGUACUUGUGUAAACCCUUCACAAUUAAUGAGAACUCCUCUAUUCCGUGGACGUAGCCAAUCUGGGUGAACCACGUACAUCUUGUGUUUGCUUUCCUAUCUAUAUCCAUUUAUAUACUUAUCCACACUAAUGAUCGGAGCAAUCUAGCGAAGAUCACAAAAAGCGACCGUUUUCGCUACCUAGGAUAUAUCGUGCAAGAGAACGGAGAAUUAGAGAGAGAUCUCAACCAUAGAAUAGAAGUUGGAUAGAUGAAGUGUAAGAGUGCAUCCGGCGGGUUGUGUGACCGUCGUAGGCCACUGAAGCUCAAGGGAAAAUUUUAUAGGACGGCAAUAAGGCCAGCGAUGUUGUAUGGCACAUAAUGUUGGGCGGUGAAGCAUCAACACGUACACAAAAUGGGUGUGGCGGAGACGAGGAUGCUUCGUGGGAUGUGUGGGCACACAAGAAAUGAUAAGAUUGGAAAUGAGGAUAUUCGAGGUAAAGUAGGAGUGGCCGAAAUUGAAGGAAAGAUGAGAGAAAAUCGGUUCCGGUGAUUUGGACAUGUGCAAAGAAGGCCUACUGACGCUCCGGUUCGAAGAUGUGACUACGGGACAGAGGUUCAGGGCCAAAGGGGUAGAGGAAGACCUAGGAAAACUUUGGAAGAGACUCUAAGAAAAGACUUAGAGUACUUGGUUCUAACGGAGGACAUGACACAAAACCGAGCGCAAUGGCGUUCUAGGAUUCAUAUAGCCGACCCCACUUAGUGGGAAAAGGCUUUGUUGUUGUUGUUGUUGUUGUUAUUUCUCUGCAUAGUCUAGAAAAAUUCUGCUUUCCUAAUCAUUUCUCACAAUUUCAUUUGGUUUUAAAAGUUUUGCUAUAAUUUGCUCUGAUGAAAGGACAUUCUGCGACAAAAACCAGGAUCAAUUUGUUUGCAUCUUGAAGAUUUCUACUUUCACCAAGUUUAUCUCCAACUCCAGGUAUUUUAUCCCAUUGGCAACUUAAAAUCAACUGCAUCUCUAUACUUUGGUAAUCAUUAGGUAAAAUAGGCUGACUAUAUGCAUAUUUCUUCAUAUUCGAACAACAAUCACAACAAAACUAGCAAUCCAUAUGGUCAUAAAUAGAUUUCUAUGUGUAUAUAAAUGCUACUCUAUACCCGCAGCAUUGUGCGGGCACCGCUGCUAGUUAACUCCCUAAUCCUCCAUUUCCUAAAUCCCACUCCACCCAACCGAAGUCCACCAUCAUCAGCACACCACCAAUCUCUUCCCCAAACUUCAUGUACCUAUCGACACUUCAAGAUCAACUUAAUUAGGCAUUUCAAGAUCAAUUUGAUAUUUAUAUUAUUCUAUUUGUUUGAGAAAUAACUUUUCUUAAUCGCAAGGAAUUAGUGAUCUUGUUAAAAAAUGAUGGAAAGGGUUACACUAAAUUGUUGUUUGUAUAAAGAUUAUGAAUAAAAAGUUGUAAUUUAUCAUUUAAUAUUGCAAUGGUAAUCUUUUUUUUUUUAGCUUGAAUAUUGGGAGCACCCGAUAUUAAUAUCCUGGAUCCGCCACUGCACGUGACAGGGUGAUUGUGACACCUACAACUUUCGCUCCCGCAGAAAGUAGUUGUUGAUCCCUCAUGGCUCAUAUCCAUGGAUUAUUUAGCAGCUUUUUAGCUCACCUUUUGCUCUUAUAGCGUUAGAGUGGAGCAAUGAGUUUCAUACUGGAUGCUUUUAGACAUUAUUCUUUGAUAAUCUUUCUAUUUGGUCUUGCAUCAGUCAUUUCGCAUCAGUCCUUGCCACUAUAUUAUUAUUUCCAGCAUUAGUCGUAUACCUUUCGAUUGCAAACAUGUUAGCCAACACUAAUAAGCCAAUUCUUUAUUGUGGGAUGUCGUUUUGGUAGGAUUACGAUUUUCACGCUCAUUUUUUAACCAUUUGUGUACUCUAAACUGUAUAUUCACAUUAUUUCUAUGCUAACAUAGGAGUGCAGGAGGUUGAAAAUGAGUGAAAAUUAGGAAGUCUUAUAUAGAUUUACAUAACUGCUCCUAGUAAAAGCAAUUACAAGACUCGCUUACUUGAGUUAAACCCCUUGCUUGAGGUUUCCUUCAAAUAGGUAUUCUCGAAGGCUGAUUUGGUGCUCGAAAACAUAUCAAGUCGAAAGUUGAGGCAUCUACAGGACUACGAAGAUUGUGGGUGGAUUUAUCUACAGUACUACAACGAUUUUAAGGUUGACAGUUGGU
RNAcentral lists this long non-coding RNA (23861 nucleotides) under Malus domestica (apple). Lineage: Eukaryota; Viridiplantae; Streptophyta; Magnoliopsida; Rosales; Rosaceae. The record is from RNAcentral.